AUUGGUGUGGAGUACGUUGAGAAGCAGAAAAAUUACUCAACAUAUCAGCCAAAGACCUUUUGAAUAAAUCUUUAGAGGAGCCCGAUGAAGUCAUCCUUCCUGUGCAAAUAGAAAAUCUGAAAGGAAAACAAUUUGUUUUCCAAAUACAACUAAAUAACUAUAAUCUCAA
Molecule: long non-coding RNA, 169 nt
Organism: Quercus lobata
Lineage: Eukaryota; Viridiplantae; Streptophyta; Magnoliopsida; Fagales; Fagaceae
Exons: 3
Source: RefSeq, a predicted model, not a curated record